CCUGGUUCCCAGUAACAACAGGUAAAGGCUGGUUCUCUGAGACUCAUAAUGAAUACACCCCCUGGUUCCCAGUAACACCAUGUAGAGGCUGGUUCCCAGUAACACCAUGUAAAGGCUGGUUCUCUGAGACUCAUAAUGAAUACACCCCCUGGUUCCCAGUAACACCAUGUAGAAGCUGGUUCUCUGAGACUCAUAAUGAAUACACCCCCUGGUUCCCAGUAACACCAUGUAAAGGCUGGUUCUCUGAGACUCAUAAUGAAUACACCCCCUGGUUCCCAGUAACACCAUGUAGAAGCUGGUUCUCUGAGACUCAUAAUGAAUACACCCCCAGG
Molecule: long non-coding RNA, 332 nt
Organism: Oncorhynchus tshawytscha (Chinook salmon)
Lineage: Eukaryota; Metazoa; Chordata; Actinopteri; Salmoniformes; Salmonidae
Source: Ensembl